Non-coding RNA from Phascolarctos cinereus (koala), 350 nucleotides. The record is from RefSeq and is a predicted model, not a curated record. Lineage: Eukaryota; Metazoa; Chordata; Mammalia; Diprotodontia; Phascolarctidae.
CUCGGAUCCUUUCAGUGCCACAAGACUCCAGGAAGAAACAAAUACUUUGGAAGCCAAAACCCCAAGGCAGGUGAGCAAGAAAAAGUUAUCAUCUGUCUUCAGAGGCUGAUUGACCCUGACAACAUUAUAUAUUUUUACAGAUCAGGAUUCUGAGGUUCAGAGGCUCCAUACUGUUCCCUGUCCAUCUUCAUGCUAAGCUCCUGAGGCCCAGACUUCACUUCUGACAGGACAUCUAACUGAAACCCUGGAAGCCUUUCCUUCUGAUCUGUGAAACUUUGUUACUGACCCACACUCCUUAUUAGAAAGUAAGGGGUUUUUUUGGUUGUUGUUGUUGUUUUUGAGGUCAAGGA